Molecule: ribosomal RNA, 253 nt
Filed under: uncultured bacterium
Lineage: Bacteria
Description: partial 16S ribosomal RNA
Rfam family: Bacterial small subunit ribosomal RNA
Source: RNAcentral
CACGUAGGGGGCAAGCGUUGUCCGGAUUUAUUGGGCGUAAAGAGCUCGUAGGCGGUUCGGUAAGUCGGGUGUGAAACCUCCAGGCUCAACCUGGAGACGCCACCCGAUACUGCUGUGACUAGAGUGCGGUAGGGGAGACUGGAAUUCCUGGUGUAGCGGUGGAAUGCGCAGAUAUCAGGAGGAACACCGAUGGCGAAGGCAGGUCUCUGGGCCGCAACUGACGCUGAGGAGCGAAAGCAUGGGAGCGAACAGG